GUGAGGAAUAUUGGUCAAUGGUCGGGAGACUGAACCAGCCAAGCCGCGUGAGGGAAGAAGGUACAGCGUAUCGUAAACCUCUUUUGCCGGGGAACAAGAGCUUCCACGAGUGGGAGUGUGAGCGUACCCGGAGAAAAAGCAUCGGCUAACUCCGUGCCAGCAGCCGCGGUAAUACGGAGGAUGCGAGCGUUAUCCGGAUUUAUUGGGUUUAAAGGGUGCGUAGGCGGCGAGUUAAGUCAGCGGUAAAAGCCCGGGGCUCAACCCCGGCCCGCCGUUGAAACUGGCUGGCUUGAGUUGGGGAAAGGCAGGCGGAAUGCGCGGUGUAGCGGUGAAAUGCAUAGAUAUCGCGCAGAACCCCGAUUGCGAAGGCAGCCUGCCGGCCCCACACUGACGCUGAGGCACGAAAGCGUGGGUAUCGAACAGG
This 424-nucleotide ribosomal RNA is filed under the name bacterium. Its description in RNAcentral is "bacterial SSU rRNA". It matches the Rfam family "Bacterial small subunit ribosomal RNA", at positions 354 to 776 of the family's 1533-position model. RNAcentral also lists the same sequence under 1 other name. The record is from RNAcentral.